CCCUUCGGGGUGUGACUGCGUACCUUUUGUAUAAUGGGUCAGCGACUUAUAUUCUGUAGCAAGGUUAACCGUAUAGGGGAGCCGGAGGGAAACCGAGUCUUAAUUGGGCGUUAAGUUGCAGGGUAUAGACCCGAAACCCGGUGAUCUAGCCAUGGGCAGGUUGAAGGUUGGGUAACACUAACUGGAGGACCGAACCGACUAAUGUUGAAAAAUUAGCGGAUGACCUGUGGCUGGGGGUGAAAGGCCAAUCAAACCGGGAGAUAGCUGGUUCUCCCCGAAAGCUAUUUAGGUAGCGCCUCGUGAAUUCAUCUCCGGGGGUAGAGCACUGUUUCGGCUAGGGGGCCAUCCCGGCUUACCAACCCGAUGCAAACUGCGAAUACCGGAGAAUGUUAUCACGGGAGACACACGGCGGGUGCUAACGUCCGUCGUGAAGAGGGAAACAACCCAGACCGCCAGCUAAGGUCCCAAAGUCAUGGUUAAGUGGGAAACGAUGUGGGAAGGCCCAGACAGCCAGGAUGUUGGCUUAGAAGCAGCCAUCAUUUAAAGAAAGCGUAAUAGCUCACUGGUCGAGUCGGCCUGCGCGGAAGAUGUAACGGGGCUAAACCAUGCACCGAAGCUGCGGCAGCGACACUGUGUGUUGUUGGGUAGGGGAGCGUUCUG
This 660-nucleotide ribosomal RNA is filed under the name Salmonella enterica subsp. enterica. RNAcentral's name for it is "partial 23S ribosomal RNA". It matches the Rfam family "Bacterial large subunit ribosomal RNA", at positions 582 to 1243 of the family's 2925-position model. Lineage: Bacteria; Pseudomonadati; Pseudomonadota; Gammaproteobacteria; Enterobacterales; Enterobacteriaceae. The record is from RNAcentral.